Molecule: transfer RNA, 71 nt
Filed under: Eumicrotremus orbis (Pacific spiny lumpsucker)
Lineage: Eukaryota; Metazoa; Chordata; Actinopteri; Perciformes; Cyclopteridae
Description: tRNA-Ser
Rfam family: tRNA
About the family: Transfer RNA (tRNA) molecules are approximately 80 nucleotides in length. Their secondary structure includes four short double-helical elements and three loops (D, anti-codon, and T loops).
Source: RNAcentral
AAGAAAAUGACAGAGUGGUUAUGUGGGUGACUUGAAAUCAGUUUAUGGGGGUUCGACUCCUCCUUUUCUCG